UGAGAAUGGAUAAUGUUUAUUUCAAAUUAUCAAAUGAUAACAAGAAUGUCUGCUUGCCAUGCAUUCUUAAACAUAAUGUUCUUUCUGUUCUGCUGAAAGAGAAUCAAUAUAAUUGAACUCCAUCACAUAGUUGAAUUGCUGUUGUUGUUUUUUUUUUUUUUUUCUUGCACUGUGUACAGACCUAGAGCAUGCAAACAUUUUCCCUUAUGGCAGUCCCAAGCUACCUGAUUCCUUUUUUAUAUGCUGAGGAAGCAGCUGUAGGAAAUGUCACAGUUCAUUUUUGGGAAAUUGCACUCCUGACCAGAAAUCAAAUCAAGCAGCGAAUAAUGUAGUAUUAUUGGCUUGUUUUUUGCCUCUCUCUUGCCUGCACUGUGCUUGCCUCUACUUCAGAGAUUCUAUGAUUCAGUCUGAUGCUGGGUCUCAGUGCAGCUGUGGUGCUUUUAUGCUGGGAACUUAUUCCCCUGGAAAGCAGCCUACAAAAGGCUUCAAGAAGGAACAGAAAAUGUUGCCAGAACCAAAAUAAGAAAGUUCAUUUGAUAAUGUUAAGGAAAUGUUGAAUAUAAUGCAAUGAAAAGAAGAAAAGCCAGACUCUUUUGAAUGUUGCCCAGUGAUAAAGCAGAAUGCAGCAGGCACAAAUUGGAACAAAAGAGGUUCCAUCCAAGCAUGAAGGAGCAUAUCUGUACUGUGUGGUUGAUGGAAUACUAGAGCAGGUUUUCCGGGACAUGGUGGAAUCUCCAUCCUUGGAGUUAUUCAAGAGACACAUAGGCAUGGUCCUGGGCAGCCUGUUCUAGGCGCUCUGCUUGAGCAGGGAAAUUGGACCAGAUGUCCUCCAGAGGUCCCUUCCCACCUAAGUCAAUCUAUGACUCUGUGAUACCACAGAAAUUUACCAUUUGUAAGAUGAAAAUGGAGAUUAGAAUGUAUUUCUGUUGGAAGAUUUAGGACUUCUGUAGUAUUAUAUUAUAUGUUUCAAAAACUUUUUUAGUCAGGAUCAGUUCUAGUUUUGCUGUAUAAUUUGUGGACUUUCCAAGUUCAAUUUUUGUUUUUCACUUGUUUUCACCCACUGAAGUAUGAGAGCUGAUACAAAAGUAAUGUCUCCUAUUUUAUUAUUUUGUACCACAACAUCAGAGGUGAAUGUUGGUGGGAUGGCAGUAGAGGUUGAAUCUUCCCACUGUUAUAUCUUGUUGCCAUGAAACAGAUGUCAGCAGAGGAGCAGUCUGACAAAAUGCGAUCUGACAUAGACUUGUAGAUGAAGGGAAGGUAUGUUAUUGAAUUCCUCCAUGCAAAAAAAUAUUUCACCACUAACAUUCAUUGAUGCUUACUGAAAAUUUAUGGAGACCAAAUAGUUAUGUGAGCACAUUUAGGCUCUUGUUUGUCAGUAAGAAAGCAUAACUAACAAUGGUGACCUUGUUGAAAAAUAGUUUAUGUAGCUAAGAAUUUGCUCUGUCAAAUAGUAUUUGUUUUGACAAUUCUGAAAGGGAAAUUUUUGUUGAAAAUUUUGGAGUAAGUAAUUCCUGAAUGAGUAAAGUGAAACAUAGAUACCAGAUUUCAAAAUAUUUAGAUGGGUACAAAAUUCA
RNAcentral lists this long non-coding RNA (1574 nucleotides) under Gallus gallus (chicken). The record is from RNAcentral. Lineage: Eukaryota; Metazoa; Chordata; Aves; Galliformes; Phasianidae.